AAAAAAGCCGGAAUAGCUCAGUUGGUAGAGCAGAGGACUGAAAAUCCUCGU
Molecule: transfer RNA, 51 nt
Filed under: Loeskypnum badium
Lineage: Eukaryota; Viridiplantae; Streptophyta; Bryopsida; Hypnales; Calliergonaceae
Also listed under: 4 other names
Description: partial tRNA-Phe
Rfam family: tRNA (bases 7-51)
About the family: Transfer RNA (tRNA) molecules are approximately 80 nucleotides in length. Their secondary structure includes four short double-helical elements and three loops (D, anti-codon, and T loops). Further hydrogen bonds mediate the characteristic L-shaped molecular structure. tRNAs have two regions of fundamental functional importance: the anti-codon, which is responsible for specific mRNA codon recognition, and the 3' end, to which the tRNAs corresponding amino acid is attached (by aminoacyl-tRNA synthetases). tRNAs cope with the degeneracy of the genetic code in two manners: having more than one tRNA (with a specific anti-codon) for a particular amino acid; and 'wobble' base-pairing, i.e. permitting non-standard base-pairing at the 3rd anti-codon position.
Source: RNAcentral